GUGAUGGGCGGAGCCGAACUGGCCGGCCUCUCCAGGUGCAGUCGUGCCUGCGGCCCCACCUGCCGCCCUGCAGCAGCUGGUCCCGCUACAGUCUCAGAUGCCUUUGGCCUCUAGUUGCCUGGCUGAGAGGAUCGGCAGUCGGAGCACCAGGUCCUUGUAUACAGCCCGCUGGACAGAGUUGCUCGUGACGACCCUUUACUGGUGGUGCGGCAGCUGUAGGACUUCUCAGGCCCACAGGCCACAGUGAAGGAGGGCAGGGCAAUGACCCAGCUUCAGCCUUUCCUCAGGGCAGACAUAUUUUCAAGUGAAGCAUUUUGAAAUUUAAAGCAAUGAGUUCAGGUGUUAAUCUGAAAGAAAAACAAGAAGAAAGAAGCAAAAGACAACAGCAACAAACAACAACCCACACAUUCCCAGCAUCUAACUGCAAACUCAGAAAGCCAUUGUAAUAAAUUUAGUUGGAUUCAGGCAUAUUCUAAGAUAAUAGAACGAGACAGACACAUAUUAUGUUGUUUUAACAUAAUGAAAGUUGGAAAAACUCUACUGCAAUGUGAAAAUUCUGAUUAUCUUUCACAUCCCGCUCAAGGAGACCUUACCACUGAGGAGAGCUGACUACUGUGAGGUUUUAUUUCCCUGAAUCUCAUUUCUAUCCCCAUCUAGUAGGAAAACAGAAGUGACUGACAACUUGCACAAGAAGAGGUAUGACCUUGAGAAUGAGGAGAAAAUGGCAUAAAAAAUACUUGUUAGGGAGCAAAAGUAUAUGAAGUUCAAAAGGGCUAAUAUAUUUGAGGCUGGCCAGGAGGAUGCUGGGGAGGGUGGUCAAAAGGGUGGAAGGGCUAAUUUUGGAUACCUACACCUCCCUUAGAGACCCCGUAAUUCUUUUGAGUAACUAUAGCUUUAGCCUCAAGUAAAGAAUAGUUUUGUGCAGUUAUCCAGAUCCUUUUUGUAUGUUUGAGGCAGAAAAAUAAAGCAUUUAAAAGCAGGUUUUCCCCCUACCCCUACUUUAGUUCACAAGAGGGAAGAAGUGCUAAGGUCACCAAGGGAUUUUAAUAGAGGGUAUAAACAGAUUUGGAUUUUUGGAAAAUGACUCGUGCUGCCAUGCCAUGUAAAACUAUGUUAAAACAAAGAAAGACUGGAGAAAGGGAAACCCAUCAGAAGUCUGUUGCUGUAUCAGACAAAGAUGUACAAUGGUUUGAUUUAAGAUAGUGUCAUGAGGAUGAAAGGAAGGGAAAAGAUUUGAGGUAUAUUUAAGAGAUAGUGAUUCAAUGAUUGAUUUAAUUUGGAGAAUAACAAAAUAGAAGGAAAUAAUAACUCCUUUGGCAACUGGGUAGAUAGUUGUACCUUCUUCUGAGAUAUGGUAUCAUAGAGAAAGAGAAGGAGAUUUUAAGAUAGAUGCAUAUAGUGAAUUCAGUUUUUAAUUCAAGGUGUUUAGAAGACAUUCAAAUGAAGAUUCCAGUAGGAGUUACUUACACAUCUGGAGCUCAAAGCAUGAGUCUGGUUGGAAGAGUUUUGGCAGGAAAUGUAAAAUAGGAAGAACUUAGAGCUAUGUGAGAGGACAAGGUUGUCCAGAGGGAGGAUAUAUAGAGUGAGAUAAGUAGUGGAGAUAAUUAGGAGGUUAUUAAGGAUUAGGUCAAGAAAUGAAGAGCCAAGGUUUGGAUAUGUUGUUUAUGUAAGUAUUGAUUACACCCAUAAUUACUCCCCUUGUCAUGGGGAGAUGUAAAAAUUGUCAGUGAAUGGGGGAGAGCAUCAGAAAAUUUGUAGAUAAAGCCACAAUGGGGAAUAAAGGUUCAUAUAGAAGAAUGACACAGACAUCAAAGGAACAGGUACUUUGUAUAAUGAUGCAACAUUUACACCCCAGAAGUGGUAGUGAGGAGCAAGGAUGACAUGAACCUUAUGCAGACCCCAUAGGAUAUAUCAGGUAAGAAAAAGACCAGCAUGAUUUCAUGUGCUUGAUUGUAUAGCUUCAGGUGAGAGCCAUAUUUUAGCUCAGGUGAGGAGCUAUAUAGAGAAUUUUGUAAAGAAUUUUGAUUUUGCAGAGUCUUUUAAUUGUGGAAAGGGAGAUUCAUAUAUCAGCAUUAAAGGGCUAAUAAAGUGGUAAUUUGACAAAGAGAGAGAGGCUGAGAGGAGAGUCUAUACUGUAGUGGCAGCUGGGUGAACCAGAAACUGGCAAAAGUAAGGACUGGUAAGCAGAGUAUCCCCUUUAAUCCAAGGGUGAUAUCUCAGCAGAAAUAUCUAUGAUGGAACUGCAGGAAGAUUGAUGGUCAUCUCUGUGUGGAGUGAUGCACCAGAAGUGUGGGCUGGAGCACUGUGAGGGCUGAGGAGUGUGGGAAUAUUAUAUUGAGGAUAAGGCUUUUCCUUUCUGCAUCAUGACCAGAUUUGCAUUUUAUAAAGAUCACUCUGACAGGUACAGAUCAUGGAUUCUGGAGGACCAGCCUGGCUCCAGGAAGACCAUUUGAAAGACUACUGUAAAAGUAAAAAAUGAUGGGUCCUUGAACUAAGGCAGCAUCAGAGGGAUCUGAACCCACGAGAGAUAUGUAGGUAAAAGAAUCCAUAGAACUAGGUGAUUGAUUAGAUGCAGAGGAUAAAGAAGAGUGAUGACAAGGCAAGAGGGUAGGAUGGCUUUCUAUUUCUGAUUUGUUAACCAGGUAGAGGGUGGCAUCAAUUUCUAGGUUAGAGAAUGAAGCAAGAGAACAGAUUUUGCAAAGUAGAUGGAUGGAAGAAAAGUUUUCUUUUAAAAAUGAUUAUUUUGAGGGGCACCUGGGUG
Long non-coding RNA from Felis catus (domestic cat), 2761 nucleotides. RefSeq lists it as uncharacterized. The transcript has 4 exons. NCBI's taxonomy places the organism in Eukaryota, Metazoa, Chordata, Mammalia, Carnivora, Felidae. The record is from RefSeq and is a predicted model, not a curated record.